ACAACAAAAGUAUAGAUAACCCCCCCCCCCAAUGGUUUGUUCCAGCUCUCCGGCUCUCUAGUGCCGUUGCUGCCAGAGCGAUGGUGGCUGAGACGGAGGUGGAGUGCCCGGCUUAAAACAGGACAUAUUAGCUGGAUUUAACCUUCAGUUACUCUUUAUAUAGUUAGGUAGGAGUCAGACCAUGUUUCUUUUAGCUGAAAAACAUUACACCAGAGAGACAGACAGGUUCAUAAUGGAUAUGAGGAAGUUAUUUCCAAAACAAAAAAAGGAGCCACAUUCAGUCCAAAGAGGGAGAGAGGAAAGAGGGAACGUGAGGAGAAAGUACAAGGUCAGGAAGAACCAGGUAAGAAAACAGACAGGGAACAGUGACAGGCAAAACAGAAACUAUUAAACUGACAAAGAGAAAAAACCUGAUUUUACUCCUACAGUCUGGAAGUUGUGUCUCCCUAUAUUAAAGCUGCUAUACAGAAUCUGCAAAACAAACUGGGUUGAAACAUUUUUGACCCUCUUUAACAACAUUCCAACAUAACAUUAUCAUUGAUUGGGGAGAUUAAAAUCAAUGAUAUAUUUUUAUGUGGUUCAGCCACAACUCUACUAAAACCUCAGCCAGUAAUAGGUAGGCCAACUUUUGGACCGUCCAGUUGUCUGUAUGACUGCCACAGUACGUGCGCCACGUUUCAGAA
Oreochromis aureus is the source of this 683-nucleotide long non-coding RNA. The record is from Ensembl. NCBI's taxonomy places the organism in Eukaryota, Metazoa, Chordata, Actinopteri, Cichliformes, Cichlidae.